CCUACGGGAGGCAGCAGUGGGGAAUAUUGCACAAUGGGGGAAACCCUGAUGCAGCGACGCCGCGUGAGUGAAGAAGCGCCUCGGCGCGUAAAGCUCUGUCAGCAGGAACGAUAAUGACGGUACCUGAAGAAGAAGCCCCGGCUAACUACGUGCCAGCAGCCGCGGUAAUACGUAGGGGGCAAGCGUUAUCCGGCUUUACUGGGUGUAAAGGGGGCGUAGACGGCGGGGCAAGUCUGGAGUGAAAGGCCGGGGCCCAACCCCGGGACCGCUCUGGAAACUGCCCGGCUGGAGUGCGGGAGAGGUAAGCGGAAUUCCUAGUGUAGCGGUGAAAUGCGUAGAUAUCACGAAGAACUCCGAUUGCGAAGGCAGCAUACCGGCGCCCAACUGACGCUGAAGCACGAAAGCGUGGGUAUCGAACAGGAUUAGAUACCCCUGUAGUC
Molecule: ribosomal RNA, 440 nt
Filed under: uncultured bacterium
Lineage: Bacteria
Description: partial 16S ribosomal RNA
Rfam family: Bacterial small subunit ribosomal RNA
Source: RNAcentral